GAUAUUAUGAAUUAUCAGUAAAUCUUUGUUGCCGGCCUCCCUCAGGGCCCCUGUUACUUUGUUCCACUAUUACCCCUUGUCCAACGCCCCUGACUUUGAUGUUUAUGUAAAGCACCUAAAGCUGGUCUGCCAACUGCCAAUAAACAGAAGAGAAUAAGAUGCAUCACCACUAGCGCCCUCACACUCACUUUCUCAGAGUUGAGUCUUCUGAGACCUGAUGGAGGAGAAAGAGGAGAGCGAAUAAUCAAAUUAGGUGGAAGAGAAACGUCAUCAUGUCAAAACUGGAGAAAUCUUUCAGUUGCUCACCGAAAA
Molecule: long non-coding RNA, 312 nt
Organism: Cyprinus carpio (common carp)
Lineage: Eukaryota; Metazoa; Chordata; Actinopteri; Cypriniformes; Cyprinidae
Exons: 3
Source: RefSeq, a predicted model, not a curated record